UACGAGGGGGGCGAGCGUUGUUCGGAAUUAUUGGGCGUAUAGGGUGCGUAGGCGGUUUGGUAAGUCUUGUGUGAAAUCUCCAGGCUCAACUUGGAGUCUGCACGAGAAACUGCCGGGCUUGAGUGUGGGAGAGGUGAGUGGAAUUCCUGGUGUAGCGGUGAAAUGCGUAGAUAUCAGGAGGAACACCUGUGGCGAAAGCGGCUCACUGGACCGCAACUGACGCUGAGGCGCGAAAGCUAGGGGAGCGAAUGGG
This 253-nucleotide ribosomal RNA is filed under the name uncultured bacterium. RNAcentral describes it as "partial 16S ribosomal RNA". It matches the Rfam family "Bacterial small subunit ribosomal RNA", at positions 524 to 776 of the family's 1533-position model. The record is from RNAcentral.